ACGGGAGGCAGCAGUGGGGAAUAUUGGACAAUGGGCGCAAGCCUGAUCCAGCCAUACCGCGUGGGUGAAGAAGGCCUUCGGGUUGUAAAGCCCUUUUGUUGGGAAAGAAAUCCAGCCGGCUAAUACCUGGUUGGGAUGACGGUACCCAAAGAAUAAGCACCGGCUAACUUCGUGCCAGCAGCCGCGGUAAUACGAAGGGUGCAAGCGUUACUCGGAAUUACUGGGCGUAAAGCGUGCGUAGGUGGUUGUUUAAGUCUGUUGUGAAAGCCCUGGGCUCAACCUGGGAACUGCAGUGGAAACUGGACAACUAGAGUGUGGUAGAGGGUAGCGGAAUUCCCGGUGUAGCAGUGAAAUGCGUAGAGAUCGGGAGGAACAUCCAUGGCGAAGGCAGCUACCUGGACCAACACUGACACUGAGGCACGAAAGCGUGGGGAGCAAACAGGAUUAGAUACCCUGGUA
RNAcentral lists this ribosomal RNA (459 nucleotides) under uncultured Stenotrophomonas sp. RNAcentral's name for it is "bacterial SSU rRNA". It matches the Rfam family "Bacterial small subunit ribosomal RNA", at positions 341 to 792 of the family's 1533-position model. The record is from RNAcentral. Lineage: Bacteria; Pseudomonadati; Pseudomonadota; Gammaproteobacteria; Lysobacterales; Lysobacteraceae.